CUCACUUCCCAUGACAACCAAGGAGAAGUGGAGUACAGAUACAUCUUGUGUGCUUGUGUUUCUUGCUCAUGCAGACACUUCUUACAAAAUGGAGAUCAAGGCCACUUUCCUGCACAUGGCUGACUUGGAGCUCCAGCUGUGUCAGCCAUGGCAGAGCUGUUACUGCUUCACUGAGUAGGCACCCAGCGCCCCAGCUGAGGCAAGCUGUUUCGUAGACAGCCUUGAUCAUUUACCCUGGCUUCGCUCCCACUUGGCUCUGUCUCGUGGAGCAAUAGAAUCAUUUCCAUUCUUUCUCAGACUGUUUCAUUUUCUCUUGGCUGCUUUCCUCCUCCCAGGGGGAUUGUUUUCUCUCAAACUGUCAAAGAGUAAUGCUUAAACAUAAAAAACAAGACUUCAGACUCAUGUGAAUCAAAUAGAUGGCACCUCUGCCUACUCAUAAUGUCUCUCUGUCAUGUUGUCUGCCCCAUUAAUGCCCUGUAGUGGGAGGGGAAUGGUUCAUGAUUUAUAUUUUAACAUCAGGUAGGAACGAUGCCUCACUUUUCCCCUUCAUGUCAAAGAGCAGCAUUGUCUUAUUUAGUACAGGAGUCUCAUGAUCUGAAUAUUACUGAGUAUGUCUAGAUCUUCCUUAAAACACUCACAGCUUGGACCCCUCCCAGGUUCCUGUUUUUCAAAAGCUUCCUUUACUUCCCAAAUAAUUCUCAGAAUUUACCUUCUGGGUAGUUAACCUAGUGGGAGAAUUUAUUUGGUCUUAAUAUUCUCAUUGCUAAAUGCAAUACAUCUGAUGCUUAAUCACAGAUAUUGUCAGUACCUCUGGCCAGUCGCUGCAGUAAAUCUGAGAAAACUGGGGCCAUGAAAAAAGACACACAUGCUAGAGAACACUUCAUCAGGUGAUUUGGGAAGUGAAGACUGCCACGAUCAUUUCUCACUUUUCAGUCAGACAGCUUUAAAUCGACUGUGCUUUCAUGGCUGGCUGGGAAUCUUUUCACAUUGCUAGUGAGCUUUGCCAAGUACCACGGACAGAUCACAGCAUACGUGGAGAUCCUGACCCACAAUUCUGAUUGAGAAAAUAGUAAAUUAUGGGCCGGCCCAGUGGCAUAGUAAGGGAUCUUCCAGGUCACGUGCUGCAUCAGGACAAAAUGUAAUCCAGUCGCUUCAAUGCUUUGCCAGAGGUUUCUCCAACUCCCUUUCCCUUUUCUCUCAACUCCACAAAAACACAUAAGCCUUCCACAUACAGCUCAGCUGGUUUAUCACUUUCUCUUAGGUUUCAGUUUCUU
Molecule: long non-coding RNA, 1274 nt
Filed under: Equus asinus (donkey)
Lineage: Eukaryota; Metazoa; Chordata; Mammalia; Perissodactyla; Equidae
Description: lncRNA (ENSEASG00005025313.1)
Source: RNAcentral